Molecule: ribosomal RNA, 460 nt
Filed under: uncultured bacterium
Lineage: Bacteria
Description: partial 16S ribosomal RNA
Rfam family: Bacterial small subunit ribosomal RNA
Source: RNAcentral
CCUACGGGGGGCAGCAGUGAGGAAUAUUGGUCAAUGGACGAGCGUCUGAACCAGCCAAGUAGCGUGAAGGAUGACUGCCCUAUGGGUUGUAAACUUCUUUUAUAUGGGAAUAAAAUGUUCCACGUGUGGGAUUUUGUAUGUACCUUAUGAAUAAGGAUCGGCUAACUCCGUGCCAGCAGCCGCGGUAAUACGGAGGAUCCGAGCGUUAUCCGGAUUUAUUGGGUUUAAAGGGAGCGUAGGUGGAUUGUUAAGUCAGUUGUGAAAGUUUGCGGCUCAACCGUAAAAUUGCAGUUGAGACUGGCAGUCUUGAGUACAGUAGAGGUAGGCGGAAUUCGUGGUGUAGCGGUGAAAUGCUUAGAUAUCACGAAGAACUCCGAUUGCGAAGGCAGUUCACUAGACUGCAACUGACACUGAGGCUCGAAAGUGUGGGUAUCAAACAGGAUUAGAUACCCGAGUAGUC